CCUACGUGAGGCAGCAGUGAGGAAUAUUGGUCAAUGGGCGCGAGCCUGAACCAGCCAAGUAGCGUGAAGGAUGACUGCCCUACGGGUUGUAAACUUCUUUUAUAAAGGAAUAAAGUGAGGCACGUGUGCCUUUUUGUAUGUACUUUAUGAAUAAGGAUCGGCUAACUCCGUGCCAGCAGCCGCGGUAAUACGGAGGAUCCGAGCGUUAUCCGGAUUUAUUGGGUUUAAAGGGAGCGUAGAUGGGUUGUUAAGUCAGUUGUGAAAGUUUGCGGCUCAAACGUAAAAUUGCAAUUGAUACUGGCAGUCUUGAGUACAGUUGAGGUAGGCGGAAUUCGUGGUGUAGCGGUGAAAUGCUUAGAUAUCACGAAGAACUCCGAUUGCGAAGGCAGCUUACUAAACUGCCACUGACAUUGAUGCUCGAAAGUGUGGGUAUCAAACAGGAUUAGAUACCCUUGUAGUC
RNAcentral lists this ribosomal RNA (460 nucleotides) under uncultured bacterium. RNAcentral's name for it is "partial 16S ribosomal RNA". It matches the Rfam family "Bacterial small subunit ribosomal RNA", at positions 338 to 795 of the family's 1533-position model. The record is from RNAcentral.